This 683-nucleotide long non-coding RNA is filed under the name Bos taurus (domestic cattle). Its description in RNAcentral is "long non-coding RNA NONBTAT018154". The record is from RNAcentral. Lineage: Eukaryota; Metazoa; Chordata; Mammalia; Artiodactyla; Bovidae.
AAAGUUUAUAUGCCUAGUAAGCAGGAUCUGGGCAUCUUGAAACCAAGAAUCAAAUUCCAAGUUUUCAACCAAAGCUUAAGUGGUGGGAGAGGUGAAGAUCUGACCCACAUGGUCCCACAGAGCUACCUCUGAUUAAUCUGCCUGUGAAGGUCCAACUUUAGCUGAAGAUCCUAAAACCUAGGAAGGUGGCUUCUCAUCUUGGAAGCCUCUCCCGGCCUCCAGGGAGAACUGUCCACUCCUUCCUUUGUGUUGCCACUACACUCUGUACACGUAUGAGGCAUUACAUAAAUGACACGUUUCUAGAUAUUAAAACUAAGAAAAUUCAGCUUGGAGAAAUUCAUCCUACUAUGAAUACUUGUUUAAAACCAAUUGCUGGCUUACACUAAAUGCCUUCUGUGUACAAUGAUUUCCCUAGAAAACAAAAGCUCAGAUCAACAUAAAAUGCCUCCAGUACCAUUGCUAUUUACUAGAAAUGUCUGUAGUUAUUUGAAAAGGAAAAGUACAAAUGACUGAAGUCUAACUUUUUCAAAGGACCAGCUUAAAGACAAUGAUGGUAAUGAUUUUAAAAUACAGUCGAUUUUAAACUUAUUUCAAGGUGACAAGCAACUGAAGGUACUGGUCUCAAAACAGAAAAUUUGAACAAUGGACAAUUACUGAAAUUCCAAAAGGCAAUUCAAAUAUUU